ACGCUGGCGGCGUGCCUAAUACAUGCAAGUAGAACGCUGAAGGAGGAGCUUGCUCUUCUGGAUGAGUUGCGAACGGGUGAGUAACGCGUAGGUAACCUGCCUGGUAGCGGGGGAUAACUAUUGGAAACGAUAGCUAAUACCGCAUAACAGUAGAUGUUGCAUGAUAUCUGCUUGAAAGGUGCAAUUGCAUCACUACCAGAUGGACCUGCGUUGUAUUAGCUAGUUGGUGAGGUAACGGCUCACCAAGGCGACGAUACAUAGCCGACCUGAGAGGGUGAUCGGCCACACUGGGACUGAGACACGGCCCAGACUCCUACGGGAGGCAGCAGUAGGGAAUCUUCGGCAAUGGACGGAAGUCUGACCGAGCAACGCCGCGUGAGUGAAGAAGGUUUUCGGAUCGUAAAGCUCUGUUGUAAGAGAAGAACGAGUGUGAGAGUGGAAAGUUCACACUGUGACGGUAUCUUACCGGAAAGGGACGGCUAACUACGUGCCAGCAGCCGCGGUAAUACGUAGGUCCCGAGCGUUGUCCGGAUUUAUUGGGCGUAAAGCGAGCGCAGGCGGUUAGAUAAGUCUGAAGUUAAAGGCUGCGGCUUAACCAUAGUACGCUUUGGAAACUGUUUAACUUGAGUGCAAGAGGGGAGAGUGGAAUUCCAUGUGUAGCGGUGAAAUGCGUAGAUAUGUGGAGGAACACCGGUGGCGAAAGCGGCUCUCUGGCUUGUAACUGACGCUGAGGCUCGAAAGCGUGGGGAGCAAACAGGAUUAGAUACCCCUGUAGUCCACGCCGUAAACGAUGAGUGCUAGGUGUUAGACCCUUUCCGGGGUUUAGUGCCGCAGCUAACGCAUUAAGCACUCCGCCUGGGGAGUACGACCGCAAGGUUGAAACUCAAAGGAAUUGACGGGGGCCCGCAC
RNAcentral lists this ribosomal RNA (909 nucleotides) under uncultured bacterium. RNAcentral describes it as "bacterial SSU rRNA". It matches the Rfam family "Bacterial small subunit ribosomal RNA", at positions 33 to 926 of the family's 1533-position model. The record is from RNAcentral.